Molecule: ribosomal RNA, 334 nt
Filed under: uncultured eukaryote
Lineage: Eukaryota
Description: partial 18S ribosomal RNA
Rfam family: Eukaryotic small subunit ribosomal RNA
Source: RNAcentral
CCCUUAGAUGUCCGGGGCCGCACGCGCGCUACACUGAAGGAAUCAGCGUGGCUUUCUCCCUGACCCGAAAGGGUUGGGAAACCCGUUGAAUCUCCUUCGUGAUAGGGAUUGGGGCUUGAAAUUGUUCCCCAUGAACGAGGAAUUCCCAGUAAGCGCGAGUCAUAAGAUCGCGUUGAUUACGUCCCUGCCCUUUGUACACACCGCCCGUCGCUACUACCGAUUGAACGGUUUAGUGAGGGCCUCGGAUUGGUCUCGGCCCGCUCUUUACCGGGCGGCGCCGUUGGUCGAGAAGACGCUCGAACUUGAUCGUUUAGAGGAAGUAAAAGUCGUAACA